UUUUUAAUUAAUUGGCUGGCAUUGAGUUUGAACCACCCAGAGUGGUUAUUUUUUAAAGAAAAUACACUUUUAAGACACAGUUUACACCUUGAAAGAACAGAGGAUGUUGUAGAACCAGAUUUGAAGUGUUCUGCUGCGAGGUCUGGAUGCUUCCCGGGUAUGUAUGCCAUGCUAGGGGUUAAUCCAGGUUCUGUAUUUUCAAAACACUGUAUUCCAAAAGUAUUAGAUUUUGUAAUUAGACUGCAAAGAACCUAAAUAAGCACAACCACAGGGGACUCACUCAUAUGCCUAACUCAUUUAAUACUAAGGUAAGUGACUUCUGGAGGCACUCAAAAUUUGUCGCUGUGUAUUUAGCUCUUUUAAUACCAAAGGCAGCACACUUCUGGAGUGGGGAUGUCCAUGCAGGUGGUUUCAGGUCUGCUGCCUUCCUGGAGGGAGGCAGACAGGGAGUUUUAAGUUCUCCCUGCUGCCUUCUCUGCAAAGAGAAGUUAAAAUGAUAUGUGGAAAAGCAGCACCUUCUCUCCAGUUCCACUGCUGCAGAGGUCAUGCAUGGUAUAAAGACCUAGAUCUCAUGAUAAACAGAGGUGUCUUACCUAGAAUAUGUGUUCAGUAUUAUGGAUACUGUGUACUGUAGAGAGGGAGCAGAAAGUGAGCAUGAAGAUAUAGAAAAUAAGUCAUAAAUGCCUGAAUAUACGAUGUUAUAAUUUCCCCUCUGUUAGAGAAAUAGUGGAGAUAGAUGGUUGUUGGCUGCUAUUUCCAGUUAAAUGACUUUCUGGCUAGCAACAAAUAGAGCUGCCUCUGAGACAGAUUUUUACAGCUCUGUAACUCUUUCUUCCAGUGCUUACUCCCGAUCCGGAGCCUCUUUGCCUUUGAUGAUGCUCAGAACAGUCCUUUUUUUUUUUUCCCUAAGGCAUGCAUUAGAAAUAAAGGUAUCUUCUGCUACUCUUCAGGUGCAACGUGGCAGUCAGUAGCAACAGAGUUCAUAAAAGUGUUCAAAGAUGCUAUUAAAAUUUUCUUAAUCAGAUAGCUUUUUCGAUUAAAAACGGAUGCUUCUAUGCAGAAAUGCAGGACAUGCCGUGGGAUUGCCAAACACCUGGAAAAAUGGCAUCUGAAAAAUAAGGAAAAAACAAGCUUUCCAGAUGCCAAACCUUUAAUAGUUCAAUUCGACAUAUGUCUGAUUGUUUAUGUUGUAUCUUGUUAUAUAUUGUAUUUGAUUUUAUAUUCACACAGCUUGAUUGCACUGGACUGUAAAGACACAGCAAAGAAAGAACACUAGAACCUGGCAAGAAAGAAGACUUCCUAUCUUUCUCACCAGUGUAGCCCAUGCCACCCAUAGGGUACAUCUAUUGCAAAUGGUGGUGUAGAGGAACUUCCAUUAGUCCCUGAUGCUCCAGCAGAGCUUGUGAACCUGCUGCAAUGCAUAUUUCUCACAGUGUUCUGGAAACUGAAGUUUCUCUGUAUUUUCUUGUUUUUCUUGCUAAUAGAUUAAUUUUCUCCUACCAUGAUUUAUUUUAUGAGCAACCAAACUAAUAAAGCUGGUUUAUAUAUAC
Molecule: long non-coding RNA, 1550 nt
Organism: Strigops habroptila (Kakapo)
Lineage: Eukaryota; Metazoa; Chordata; Aves; Psittaciformes; Psittacidae
Exons: 2
Source: RefSeq, a predicted model, not a curated record